This 773-nucleotide small RNA is filed under the name Arabidopsis thaliana (thale cress). RNAcentral describes it as "ATSL177640". The record is from RNAcentral. Lineage: Eukaryota; Viridiplantae; Streptophyta; Magnoliopsida; Brassicales; Brassicaceae.
UUUCUCGGCAAACAACAAACUCAUUCUUCAUGCAUAUUCAAAUGCAGAUUGCGGUGAGAUUCAGACGAUUAUGUACUCGUACAUCUUGUUAGUGCACCUUCAGUCAGGUCAAACCAGAAGGAGUGUUGAUUGCUGGAACAAACUGGAAGCUGUUUCAGAAGAUUAAAGUGAAGAUCAAGUAAUUGAUGCUGACGUGGAUAUACCGCCAAAUGAACGAAUGACGUGGAGAUCACAACAGAAUGAGUUCGGUUUGGAAAGAAGAUAUUCACGCAAAGAUCUGGAGUGAUCCAAGAUCUUGAAGACUAACCUAGAAGACCAAAGACCUCGAUGAUAUAAAUAGAGGUGCUAAGGUGCUUGCUAGAGUUGGCCAUGAUUGUGAGUGAAAAAGCUAGUGCAACGCUUUUCAUUGUUAGAGACUAAGGUUUAGUCUGAUUGGAAUUCUAGAGAGAUCAAAGAGUGUGUUCUUGUGAUAUACUCUUGUGUGUUUAGAGAAAUCUCAGGUGACAAGAUAUAGUAGUUUAGAUCUUGUGUAAAACCAAUUAAGGUAGUUGUAAACUUCUUAAUCAGAUUUCUAAUAAAGUGAUACUCAGUGGUUCUUAGUUUGGGGAAUACGAUUCUUGGUUCAUCCGGAAUUUCACAUCUACCUAGGACGACGAAACCCAAUAUCUUGGACAACCAAGAAACGGAAGGGGUGGCAAGAUCAUCUAUAGAAGUAGAGUAUAGGGUUGUCGCAAACACGGCCUCUGAACUAAGUUGGGUAUAUAUGUAAUAUU